This 301-nucleotide ribosomal RNA is filed under the name uncultured bacterium. RNAcentral describes it as "partial 16S ribosomal RNA". It matches the Rfam family "Bacterial small subunit ribosomal RNA", at positions 509 to 807 of the family's 1533-position model. The record is from RNAcentral.
CAGCCGCCACGGGAAUACGUAGGGUGCGGGCGUUAAUCGGAAUUACUGGGCGUAAAGCGUGCGCAGGCGGUUUUGUAAGACAGGCGUGAAAUCCCCGGGCUCAACCUGGGAAUGGCGCUUGUGACUGCAAAGCUAGAGUGCGGCAGAGGGGGAUGGAAUUCCGCGUGUAGCAGUGAAAUGCGUAGAUAUGCGGAGGAACACCGAUGGCGAAGGCAAUCCCCUGGGCCUGCACUGACGCUCAUGCACGAAAGCGUGGGGAGCAAACAGGAUUAGAUACCCGGGUAGUCCCUGUCUCUUAUAC